RNAcentral lists this ribosomal RNA (198 nucleotides) under uncultured bacterium. Its description in RNAcentral is "partial 16S ribosomal RNA". It matches the Rfam family "Bacterial small subunit ribosomal RNA", at positions 1303 to 1500 of the family's 1533-position model. The record is from RNAcentral.
GGCUGCAACUCGCCUAUAUGAAGUUGGAAUUGCUAGUAAUCGCGGAUCAGCAUGCCGCGGUGAAUACGUUCCCGGGCCUUGUACACACCGCCCGUCACACCAUGAGAGCCGGUAAUACCCGAAGUCAGUAUCCUAACCGCAAGGGGGGAGCUGCCGAAGGUAGGAUUGGCGAUUGGGGUGAAGUCGUAACAAGGUAAC